AGUGAGCCAAGACUGCACCACUGAACUCCAGCCUGGGUGACAGAGUGAGACUCUGUCUCAAAGAAAAAAAGGAACUUUAUUUAAAAACAAAAAAGAAAUGGCGGCAGGUGGGAUUUGGCCCUGUUUGUAGUUUCCUGACACCAACAGUAAUAGACUGAUCUAUCUGGGGACAUCAGGACAUGUCAGCCGCAGAGAAGGUGACUUAGGAUUCUUAGUGCCAAGCAUUGUGCCUGGUUCACUUCCUAACCUUUUCCAAGAUGCAACCCAUAGUGCCACUCAACAGUACCUUUAGGAGAUUUGAGGCACAGUAAUAGUGCUAAUAACUAAUCUUUCUACUAGAUGCCUUUUUCUAAGUGCUUUUCACAUCUGACAUUAAUCUGUGGACAGCUGAGUGAGAAGGGCAAUUGAGGCCCUAAGGAAAAGAGCUUGCUCAAGGUCACAGAGCUAGUGGGUGGUGAAACUAGGAUUUGAACCCGGACAGAGUGGUUCUAAGCAUUUGAGCUCAAGUCCUUUACCUUCUCUCUCCCACAUUUCAGUAUUUCUCAGUUUGAGAUCACCUUUGAAGCCUUACUCUUUGGGAACUGCCUCUUCCAAACACUCAUAUUCAGUGACAAGGUUCUGUGUUCUCUUUUUGAGACGUUUACUUUGGAGCAGAGCUACAAGUAAGGGACUGCUAACUCUGCCAGUUUUCUGUUAUAGCUGAAUAGUUCAAGGGUGGAGCAAGAUCAUGCAAGAGGUUUCUUUUUGCUCAUCCCUGGGCUACACCAGAGACUUUCAACUGUAGAAACACUUUAAUAACAGUAGAGAUGAUUUUACUGAGUGUCUGUUUUGUCGAUACUGUGCUAGGUGCAUUAAAUAUAUUAUGUUGGUUAAAAUCUCACAAUGCUGGAAAUUAAGCAGUAUUAUUCCCAUUGCACAGAUGAUGAAAAAUUGGGGUUCAGUUAUGGAUAAGUUAAUGAAAUCUCCAAGUCUCAGUUUCUUCAUUUGGACAUUAUGAUAGUCCUAUCUUAUAGGGUCGUUAUGGAGAUUAAAUGAGUUAACACAUGUUAAGGAUUUAGAGCAAUGUGUGAUCAACUCUAUAAUCAAGUGUUGCUGUUAUUAUCAGAAUAUAGUAGCAAUUGUAGAGGUGAAAUGCUCACUUUUUAUGAGUAUUUGCGAAUUAGUAAUAAGUAUAUAAGAAGUAUUCAGCAUAGUGCUUAGGUGUUAAUGGAUAGAACUUAUGAUUAUUUAUAGGAAGAAGCUAUGUAAAGCUCUGAUCCUUUUAAUUUAAAAAUACCUCCACUAGUGAUGGUUUCAAAAUUAAACAUUAAAAUGUUAAAACUCAGUCUUUUGGUUUUGGUUGUUGUUGUUUGUUUUGUAUAAAACUACUCCCUGCAAAAACAGCUCUAGGUAUUCCUUUGUUUACUGUAAAUUAGGUAGAUUAGAUUGGCACUAGAGGAUAGGUAUGCUUGACACAGUAAAUGAUUUCCAAGGUGCAUUUUACAGCCAUAAAAGCAGUAACUUAGAAAUAUGUACAUGGGAGUAAAAUCAUUUGUUCAUUUAUGUUAAAUUUCAAUGGUAGCAUAAUUGUAAAAAAGCUAUGUUUUACAUAUGCAUUCUAUUAUAUACCACACAUCACUGUGCAUAUUUUUUGUUAUUACAUACUUAUUUCUCUGUGGAGUUAUGUCCAGAACUAUGAGGAUUCUAUGAUAAUGGCAAUUUGUUCAAUGUUAACAUUAACUAUAUAUACAUGAUUUUUCUUUAAGUACUGACCUUAGGCUUUAACCCCUACCUUAAGCUGCAACUGAACUCUAAUGAAAUGCAGAAAGGGAAUAUUCCCCCCACAAAUUAAAUAACCAAUAAUUAACCUUUUCAUUUUUUUUUUAGCUCGCUAAUCUGUGUGUUAGUAGAAACUAAACCAGUGUUAUCCAAUUCAAAUUUUUUUUGUGACAGUGACAUCUGGUGGUUCCUUUUUAAUUCUCAUGAUUUCCCUGUGCUUAGCUGGUUGUUAGAAAUUCCAAAGAAUCACUGUGUGAACUGCUUUGCUUGGCAUUUAACAUUAGCUAGCUAUUGAGGAUCAAGUUAGUCUCACUAAUGUGGCUUGAACUUUGAAAAGCUCUGGUUUCUAUUUGGAUGCAGCUCUUCUCUGAAGAGAACAACAGCCUUCCGUGGAUGAAUGAACAUUUUAUCAUGUGUGAUGGGCAAACAGCUGUCUUGGGAAGGAUUUUUCUUUAAUUCAGAGAACUUAGGAUUUUGAAUAAGGGAUGGUAUCUAUGCCAACCUCUUUGCUUUACUCAUGAGGAGGCUGGAGUACUGAGAAGCAGAGUGUGUUGGCUAAGGUUUCACUCUGUUAGCCAAGGUCUCCCCAUGUUGGCCAAGGUCUCCCCGUGUUGGCCAAGGUCUCCCCGUGUUGGCCAAGGUCUCCCCGUGUUAGGCAAGGUCUCCCCGUGUUAGGCAAUGUCUCCCCGUGUUGGGCAAGGUCUCACCGUGUUGGCCAAGGUCUCACCGUGUUGGCCAAGGUCUCGCCAUGUUGGCCAAGGUCUCAUUGUAUUGGCCAAGGUCUUACCAUUUUAGCCAGGGUCUCACCAUUUUAGCCAGGGUCUCACCAUGUUGGCCAAGUUCUCCCUGUGUUGGCCAAGGUCACCAGCUCCUUGGUGAGAAGAGAUUCCAUAAUUUAUGGGUUUUGUGCCACCAGGGAGAAGUGUGACAUUGGGCUCUUGCUCAGAAAUUAUGUUUUUUAUGCUGGGCAGCCCACUGAGUAAGAAAGGUCUGAGAGUGAAAGGCUAGAGGGCAAAGGCAGCUAACAUUUUCACGACCUAUUUGCUGUAAAUAUUCCCACACCUGGCUUUUCUCUCAUUCAAAA
Long non-coding RNA from Sapajus apella (tufted capuchin), 2842 nucleotides. RefSeq lists it as uncharacterized. The transcript is spliced from 2 exons. The record is from RefSeq and is a predicted model, not a curated record. NCBI's taxonomy places the organism in Eukaryota, Metazoa, Chordata, Mammalia, Primates, Cebidae.